Molecule: ribosomal RNA, 831 nt
Filed under: uncultured bacterium
Lineage: Bacteria
Description: bacterial SSU rRNA
Rfam family: Bacterial small subunit ribosomal RNA
Source: RNAcentral
GCAGUCGAGGGGUAUAGGUUUUCGGACCUAGAGACCGGCGCACGGGUGCGUAACGCGUAUGCAAUCUACCUUUUACAGAGGGAUAGCCCAGAGAAAUUUGGAUUAAUACCUCAUAGUAUAAUGACUCGGCAUCGAGAUAUUAUUAAAGUCACAACGGUAAAAGAUGAGCAUGCGUCCCAUUAGCUAGUUGGUAAGGUAACGGCUUACCAAGGCUACGAUGGGUAGGGGUCCUGAGAGGGAGAUCCCCCACACUGGUACUGAGACACGGACCAGACUCCUACGGGAGGCAGCAGUGAGGAAUAUUGGUCAAUGGGCGCAAGCCUGAACCAGCCAUGCCGCGUGCAGGAUGACGGUCCUAUGGAUUGUAAACUGCUUUUGUACAGGAAGAAACAUCUCUACGUGUAGAGACUUGACGGUACUGUAAGAAUAAGGAUCGGCUAACUCCGUGCCAGCAGCCGCGGUAAUACGGAGGAUCCAAGCGUUAUCCGGAAUCAUUGGGUUUAAAGGGUCCGUAGGCGGCUUAGUAAGUCAGUGGUGAAAGCCCAUCGCUCAACGGUGGAACGGCCAUUGAUACUGCUAGACUUGAAUUGUUGGGAAGUAACUAGAAUAUGUAGUGUAGCGGUGAAAUGCUUAGAGAUUACAUGGAAUACCAAUUGCGAAGGCAGGUUACUACCAACACAUUGACGCUGAUGGACGAAAGCGUGGGGAGCGAACAGGAUUAGAUACCCUGGUAGUCCACGCCGUAAACGAUGGAUACUAGCUGUUCGGAGCAAUCUGAGUGGCUAAGCGAAAGUGAUAAGUAUCCCACCUGGGGAGUACGUUCGCAAGAAU